This is a long non-coding RNA of Protopterus annectens (West African lungfish), 303 nucleotides long. RefSeq lists it as uncharacterized. Lineage: Eukaryota; Metazoa; Chordata; Ceratodontiformes; Protopteridae. The transcript has 3 exons. The record is from RefSeq and is a predicted model, not a curated record.
CGCCAUUUUAGUGGUCCCAUUAGUUUUGCGUAUAGAAAGUGGGACGUAAAGUGGGCAUUUUACUGAAAAGUUGGUUCUUGUUUAUGUUGAUGAUUGUGGAAUAAAGUGAGUGGUGAAAAUUGGGGAUUUGCUGUUUUUUAUUCUCGACGUUUUAAUUUUUCGGAAGUUCCGAAAUGUACAUCAAACAGGUUAUUAUUCAAGGCUUCCGAAGUUACAGGGAUCAAACUAUCGUUGAUCCAUUCAGUCCCAAACACAACGUUAUAGUUGGUCGAAAUGGAUCUGGGAAAAGUAACUUCUUUUAUG